Gallus gallus (chicken) is the source of this 1804-nucleotide long non-coding RNA. The record is from Ensembl. NCBI's taxonomy places the organism in Eukaryota, Metazoa, Chordata, Aves, Galliformes, Phasianidae.
GGUUACACCUACCAUGGUUUCUUAAGAUGGAUUCACUGGGCUUCCUCUAGCUCUCGUUACAAACUCCCAUAAGUUUUUAAGGCAAAACUUCUUUUCAGCUUUGGAAAAAUGACAGCAAGUGAUCCACUGUCCAGUAUUUAUUCCUUAAGGUUGUGCCUAAAGGCCACAGAAGGAACAUCAGCUUCCUGACUGCUUUGAGCACUUGUCUGGAUUUAGCAAUUCAGGUGACUAGUCAGUGCCUCUCCUGAUUCGCUCCCCCAUCCCUCUGAGGGAGAGCAAGCGAAUGGCUCUUAACCUGCAGUUAAACCACACCAACAGCAAUACUUUAUUUGCACUGAACUGCCUUACAGCUCAUUCAUACUCCCUCUAUAACCAAGCGGAGCUGACUACUUGCAGAGAUGGACCUUUGGAUUUCCGAGGUGCUGCCUGUGCCAAAUACUUCUGCUGCUGGCUCAUGUCACAGUCCCAGCGUGGGAGCUGUGCUGGAGAUGUCUGGGAGCUCAGCUUGGCUACUGCUGCCCUACACAAAGUUUCCACUCCGUUUUCUCUCUCUUCUUAGUUUUGAAAUGAGCUGCACUGAUUCUCAAAUCCUUAAAAAACCUUUGGUACCAAGUGGGAUCCUGCAUGUACUUCCCACCAUCUCCUCCUGCGCUCCUACUCAGGGAGAAGGCUUUCUCCGGCUUUGGGAUUGUUCACUUUGAAAACGGAUGGCUGUUUCUGCAUUUUUUUUUUCGUAGGCCAGAGCAGCUUCCUUUCCAUGGCACAAACCAGAAAUUUACUUACAUUCCUUGCUCGCCUAGUUAAGCUUUGCCACAACUCAGAGCUCUGUCUUGAACGGAACUGAACUUUGACAUUUUCUCUUCCAACUUUAUGAGUUCAAAAUGCCACGCUACUGGGGAACAGAAUCCCAGAACUGAGCUGUUUUUCUCUAACCCCCAGCGAGAGACUAUAUCAAGACAGGAAAAAAUGCACUGUACAUUAAGCUGCUCUUCACCCUCCUGGGCAAACAGCCCUGCAGAUGCCUCUCUUGGCAUGGGGCUGUGCUUCCAGGCGAGCGGCACACACACCCUACAGCUGCUGGGGCAGGGCAACAGAAGUCAUCAUGCCCACAUGUGGAAGAGCACGUCUGAACUCUCCGUGUCUGUCUGUCUUCCCAAAUGCACAGGAUCACUUACCCCAUGAAAUCACUGCAACGUGUACUCCAUUCGCCUUGCUCUGUGACAUGAUUUCUUGACUGUUAUGCUGGGAUCCAGUGAUGGAUGCGGCUCCUCCAGGAUGCUUGCCCUUACCACCUGCCGUCACAUCCCAUUCAGACAUACAGAAAGGACAGUGGCUAUUUUUAAAAAGAGGAAAAGCAGUACCAAUAGAAUUGGUCUGGUUUUGAUCCACAAAAACUUGGACUUAGCGGUACUUCUACUGUGUGCCUACCAUUGCAGGUGCAGUGUACAAGUUAUCAGGGAUUUCACACAGUGUAUUUUAACCUGUGUGCAAAACCAGGCUCCCUGAAAGAAUGUGAAAGUCGUGACAAUUAAUUUACCACAGCCAGUAACAUUAAAAAUCCUGCUCUCUGUGUUAAGCUCAUGAUGUGCCUCAGCUAUUGCUCGUUUCCCACAUUCUAAAAACAAUAUAGCAGUCUUUCUUCACAUUAAGCACAAUAAUGGUGCGACGUUGCCAUGACUGGAAGCAAUUGUUAAACAGAUCUCCUUAUUAUAUAUAAUUACCUCACUGUCUAAGCAAGCAGCCACACAGAGCAGCUUAAUUUUUCUUAAAUUUAAUUGAAAUCUGACAGUAUUGCAAACUCUCA